Epinephelus fuscoguttatus (brown-marbled grouper) is the source of this 389-nucleotide long non-coding RNA. RefSeq lists it as uncharacterized. Lineage: Eukaryota; Metazoa; Chordata; Actinopteri; Perciformes; Serranidae. The transcript is spliced from 3 exons. The record is from RefSeq and is a predicted model, not a curated record.
GAGAGACAAGGAAACGUGCUUCAGCUACAGUUUCUGUGGCUCCCAGUGAUGAGUCUGAAGAGGUUCCUACAGUGAGCCAAGACAACAGCUCUCAACACAUGUUUGACACUGAGAUGCAGAUGUUGAAGGACAUUCUGACCUCAUCAGAACAGCCAAUGGAACAGCCUUCAACAUCUUCAUCGUGGAGCUUGCGCCAAACUGCAGCCCAGGAUGAGUGGCGGAACACAAGGGCCCAUCACAUUGACUGUUUGCUGUUCUGCAACGAGGUUCCUGACAAGAAGUGCAGCCAUUGCACAUCCCCUGCCAUCAUUCACUGCAGAGACUGCAUGCCAGAUGAGUGGCUGUGUAUGGAGUGUGACAUACAAAUACACACAAAGCUCACACUUCAU